AGAGUUUGAUCCUGGCUCAGGACGAACGCUGGCGGCGUGCCUAAUACAUGCAAGUCGAACGAAGCUUUCUUUCACCGAAUGCUUGCAUUCACCGAAAGAAGCUUAGUGGCGAACGGGUGAGUAACACGUAGGCAACCUGCCCAAAAGAGGGGGAUAACACUUGGAAACAGGUGCUAAUACCGCAUAACCAUGAACACCGCAUGAUGUUCAUGUAAAAGACGGCUUUUGCUGUCACUUUUGGAUGGGCCUGCGGCGUAUUAACUUGUUGGUGGGGUAACGGCCUACCAAGGUGAUGAUACGUAGCCGAACUGAGAGGUUGAUCGGCCACAUUGGGACUGAGACACGGCCCAAACUCCUACGGGAGGCAGCAGUAGGGAAUCUUCCACAAUGGACGAAAGUCUGAUGGAGCAACGCCGCGUGAAUGAAGAAGGCCUUCGGGUCGUAAAAUUCUGUUGUCAGAGAAGAACGUGCGUGAGAGUAACUGUUCACGUAUUGACGGUAUCUGACCAGAAAGCCACGGCUAACUACGUGCCAGCAGCCGCGGUAAUACGUAGGUGGCAAGCGUUGUCCGGAUUUAUUGGGCGUAAAGGGAACGCAGGCGGUCUUUUAAGUCUGAUGUGAAAGCCUUCGGCUUAACCGAAGUAGUGCAUUGGAAACUGGAAGACUUGAGUGCAGAAGAGGAGAGUGGAACUCCAUGUGUAGCGGUGAAAUGCGUAGAUAUAUGGAAGAACACCAGUGGCGAAAGCGGCUCUCUGGUCUGUAACUGACGCUGAGGUUCGAAAGCGUGGGUAGCAAACAGGAUUAGAUACCCUGGUAGUCCACGCCGUAAACGAUGAGUGCUAAGUGUUGGAGGGUUUCCGCCCUUCAGUGCUGCAGCUAACGCAUUAAGCACUCCGCCUGGGGAGUACGGUCGCAAGACUGAAACUCAAAGGAAUUGACGGAAGG
This 945-nucleotide ribosomal RNA is filed under the name uncultured bacterium. RNAcentral describes it as "bacterial SSU rRNA". It matches the Rfam family "Bacterial small subunit ribosomal RNA", at positions 8 to 920 of the family's 1533-position model. The record is from RNAcentral.